RNAcentral lists this ribosomal RNA (720 nucleotides) under uncultured bacterium. RNAcentral's name for it is "bacterial SSU rRNA". It matches the Rfam family "Bacterial small subunit ribosomal RNA", at positions 136 to 851 of the family's 1533-position model. The record is from RNAcentral.
CAGGGGGAUAAGCGGAAGAAAUUCCGUCUAAUACGGCAUAAUACAAUUUGGAGACAUCUCCGGGUUGUCAAAGGAGUGAUCCGGCAGAGGAUGGACAUGCGGCGCAUUAGCUAGUCGGCGGGGUAACGGCCCACCGAGGCUACGAUGCGUAGGGGUUCUGAGAGGAAGGUCCCCCACACUGGUACUGAGACACGGACCAGACUCCUACGGGAGGCAGCAGUGAGGAAUAUUGGUCAAUGGGCGGAAGCCUGAACCAGCCAAGUCGCGUGAGGGAAGACGGUCCUAUGGAUUGUAAACCUCUUUUGCAGGGGAGCAAGGCGCGGUACGUGUACCGCGAAGGAGAGUACCCUGAGAAAAAGCAUCGGCUAACUCCGUGCCAGCAGCCGCGGUAAUACGGAGGAUGCGAGCGUUAUCCGGAUUUAUUGGGUUUAAAGGGUGCGCAGGCGGACUGUUAAGUCAGCGGUAAAAUGUCGGUGCUCAACACCGGCCGGCCGUUGAAACUGGCAGCCUUGAGUGAGCGAGAAGUAUGCGGAAUGCGUGGUGUAGCGGUGAAAUGCAUAGAUAUCACGCAGAACUCCGAUUGCGAAGGCAGCAUACCGGCGCUCAACUGACGCUCAGGCACGAAAGCGUGGGUAUCGAACAGGCUUAGAUACCCUGGUAGUCCACGCAGUAAACGAUGAAUAAUCGCUGUCCGGGCCGUUUAAGGCCUGGGUGGUCAAG